GAGUAACGCGUAGACAACCUGCCGCAAGAUGGGGACGAACAGCCGAAGGACUGCUAAUACCGAAUGUUGUCAAGUUUUCCGCGAUGGGAGGCUUGAUUAAAGAUGGCCUCUGCUUGUAAGCUAUCGCUUUGCGAUGGGUCGUGCGUCUGAUUAGCUAGUUGGUGGGGUAACGGGCCUACCAAGGCGACGAUCAGUAGCCGGUCUGAGAGGAUGAACGGCCACAUUGGAACUGAGACACGGUCCAGACUCCUACGGGAGGCAGCAGUGGGGAAUCUUCCGCAAUGGGCGAAAGCCUGACGGAGCAACGCCGCGUGAGUGAAAAGAAGGGUUUCGGCUCGUAAAGCUCUGUUGACGGGGACGAAUGUGCGAAAUGCGAAUAGUUUUUCGCAAUGACGGUACCCGUCGAGGAAGCCACGGCUAACUACGUGCCAGCAGCAGC
Molecule: ribosomal RNA, 439 nt
Filed under: uncultured bacterium
Lineage: Bacteria
Description: bacterial SSU rRNA
Rfam family: Bacterial small subunit ribosomal RNA
Source: RNAcentral